GGGGAGCAUGUGGUUUAAUUCGAAGCAACGCGAAGAACCUUACCAGGCCUUGACAUGUUGAGAACUUUCCAGAGAUGGCGGGGUGCCUUAGGGAAAUCAGACACAGGUGUUGCAUGGCGGUGGUCAGCUCGUGUCUUGAGAUGUUGGGUUAAGUCCCGUAACGAGCGCAACCCUUGUCCUUAGUUACCAGCACGUUAUGGUGGGCACUUUAAGGAGACUGCCGGUGACAAACCGGAGGAAGGUGGGGAUGACGUCAAGUCAUCAUGGCCCUUACGGCCUGGGCUACACACGUGAUACAAUGGUCGGUACAAAGGGUUGCCAAGCCGCGAGGUGGAGCUAAUCCCAUAAAACCGUAUCGUAGUCCGGAUCGCAGUCUGCAACUCGACUGCGUGAAGUCGGAAUCGCUAGUAUCCGUUCAGCCA
Molecule: ribosomal RNA, 422 nt
Filed under: uncultured Pseudomonas sp.
Lineage: Bacteria; Pseudomonadati; Pseudomonadota; Gammaproteobacteria; Pseudomonadales; Pseudomonadaceae
Description: bacterial SSU rRNA
Rfam family: Bacterial small subunit ribosomal RNA
Source: RNAcentral